Lemur catta (Ring-tailed lemur) is the source of this 1865-nucleotide long non-coding RNA. RefSeq lists it as uncharacterized. Lineage: Eukaryota; Metazoa; Chordata; Mammalia; Primates; Lemuridae. The transcript is spliced from 6 exons. The record is from RefSeq and is a predicted model, not a curated record.
UCUGGUGUGCAGCCGCGGCGCUCCCGUCUGCUCCAGGCCUUACCAGAGCUUACCGUGACGCACCUUGGGUUGUCCAAUGUGGAGCCAUGCCAGCCAGUGCCGGUGGUCCCCCUUGCUGAGAACCUCGGCUGCCCCCAGCCUGGAGGACGACGGGUCUGACUGUGGAGGGAUGUAGGAGUUCCUGGGCGGCUGGUGGUGGCAUGUCCCUUGUUCCAGAACGAACCAUCCAGAGGAACCGGGUGGAUUUCACACGGGGAUUAAUGGUUCCUACCGCUGCCGCUUCAAAUGCCGUCUGGAAAACACACAGGUGCAGCCUCUCCGACUUUUCACUAGAACCUCCUGAAGACGCAGACAAAGGUGAAAAUAAUGCAAGAGGGAAACUAAGAACACCGCCCACAGCCCCGCCAAGGCAGAGUCUUCGAGGGAGGGCGCUAGCGAAGAGCUGGGGCCUGGGCGUCCCGACACGGCCUGGGCGUGGAACGUCUCACAGCACAGGGUCCACCCGUGGACGAGACAGUGGAGGAAACAGAAGUUUGGCUGAGAAGGAAAUUCAAUUCUUCCAGUACAUCUCCCCACUGAGCUCGUGUGACCAUCCUCAUCCCCAACCUCGCCUGCCUGCAGCCGACUCGGAUCUGACGUUCCAGGGAGGCUAAAGGGGUACGUGCGUGUGUGGUUUUAAGAGCGUCUGAUAAGCCCAAAGAAAGCCCAGCUGGCAGCAGGUCCAUUGGCAAUCAAUACUCCAGAGUCAGCAACUAUCUCCGCACAGUUUCCUUCUCCAAGAACGGAACUUGCCGCUGAUCCAAACUCCUAAGACUCUCCUGGGAUCCAGAGUGUGCCGGCGUUUUUCUCCAGUUCCUUCCCGGUUCGCAGCACAGCAUGGAUAAGCAGAGCUGGAAGCAUGCAGUGUGCCUUCAUUUGGAACAUCUCCAGCAACUUCCGCAGGGCCCCACGGGGAGUGGAUGAGGGUCUCCGGGUUUCUAUGAGAAUGUGCCACCUGCUGCCACACGAUUCGAUGUCCACGACCAUCACGGAAUGUUAAAAUGAGACUUUUCUGCCUCCACAUUUGAGCUGAGAAUGACACAAUGCCAAGAAUCAAUUUCCUACAAGGAGGGGACAGAUCACUGACGUGGAAAGUGACACUAAAGGGUUUUCCCAGCACUGUGCUGGGUCCAAACCUCUGCGAAUUGAGGCCAGGUGGGGGCUGUACGGGGGUGAUCUGGCGCUCCCUGGGGGUCAUUGUCAGUAUGCAGGGCACCCCCCACACCUGCCUGGGCCAGGGUGGAGGCUUCUGCACACCUGGAGCCAGGUGAGCAGGGCUUCAGAGGGGCCCACUGCGAAGCUGGACCCCUGUCCUCUGGGACCUAGGAGCGGGAGGCCUGACUCACACCAGAGAGGUCUCGAGGCCACGGCGUUCGGUGACCUGAAGAGGCAGAGCCCAGGGAGGCCUUGGGCAAAGGCAAGUGUGCCUGGAACCUCGUCAGUACCUGCAAGGUUUGAGCCAACUUCAGAAGAUUACUCUUUCUACCUGUGUAUGAGUAGAUUAAAUCCCACCCCCCAUGGAACUGAUAACAGAGGAAAGAUGGCUGGGGAGUGAAGGAGGCCACCAGGGGGAGGGGUCUGUGAAGGAAACUCACUCUUGCCCCUUCCCCAUGAGGUCAUAAGGAGCGAGUUUGUUGAUCCAGGAAAACCUCCAGGACAUUAGGUGUGAGUGACAGGUUGAACACAGUCUUAGACUGGAUUAGUAGGAUCAGCUCCCGGUGGGCAGCCUUCUUUGUUAAAAUCAUAUUGAAAAAGCAGGCUGGGCGCGGUGACUCACGCCUGCAAUCCUGGCACUUUGGGAGGCUGAGGCAGGAGGAUCACUUGAG